CCUACGGGAGGCAGCAGUGAGGAAUAUUGGUCAAUGGGCGCUAGCCUGAACCAGCCAAGUAGCGUGAAGGAUGACUGCCCUAUGGGUUGUAAACUUCUUUUAUAAGGGAAUAAAGUGCAGCAUGUAUACCUUUUUGCAUGUACCUUAUGAAUAAGGAUCGGCUAACUCCGUGCCAGCAGCCGCGGUAAUACGGAGGAUCCGAGCGUUAUCCGGAUUUAUUGGGUUUAAAGGGAGCGUAGACGGGUUGUUAAGUCAGUUGUGAAAGUUUGCGGCUCAACCGUAAAAUUGCAGUUGAUACUGGCAGCCUUGAGUACAGUAGAGGUAGGCGGAAUUCGUGGUGUAGCGGUGAAAUGCUUAGAUAUCACGAAGAACUCCGAUUGCGAAGGCAGCCUACUAGACUGUAACUGACGCUGAUGCUCGAAAGUGUGGGUAUCAAACAGGAGUAGAUACCCUAGUAGUC
This 460-nucleotide ribosomal RNA is filed under the name uncultured bacterium. Its description in RNAcentral is "partial 16S ribosomal RNA". It matches the Rfam family "Bacterial small subunit ribosomal RNA", at positions 338 to 795 of the family's 1533-position model. The record is from RNAcentral.